RNAcentral lists this unclassified non-coding RNA (499 nucleotides) under Hevea brasiliensis (rubber tree). Lineage: Eukaryota; Viridiplantae; Streptophyta; Magnoliopsida; Malpighiales; Euphorbiaceae. The record is from RNAcentral.
ACUACAAUAAACAAUGUGCAGCAGUGUAUUAUAAUGAAUUCGUAUUAAUCUUUUAUUAAAAAGAAAAACAUGUAAAUGAAUUAAUCUGAAGAAAAUAAGCAUCUGCAUAAGACACCUGGUGAGACAGAGGCCCGACUUGUUGAUUUCUAAACUGCAGUCUAUAGCCUCCACUACAGCAUUUCUUGUCCAGUUUGUACCAUGAAAACAGAUAGGCAUUUCAACAAACACGUUCUAGGCAUGAAAUUGAAGAAAAUAGAUACGAAUAUGAAAAUAUUUGCAACUUCAAAAGGAUUUUUGUUUGUAACAUAAAGAGUUGGAACUUUCAAGGCAAUCAAAAGGAAUUUUGUUGUAACAUAAAGAUGAAAUAUGGAAUUGGAAUGGGCUGAAAGAUGAAAAGGGAAGAUCUUGUUAAAGAGUUAAAACGUUGAGGCGAAGACAUAAAGGAGAAAGCAUAGCAUCUGAUAACUGAAAGCAGAGGGUUCGAUGGGAGUUAAAAGCC